GAUUGAACGCUGGCGGCAGGCUUAACACAUGCAAGUCGAGCGGGGUGAUGGUGCUUGCACUAUCACUUAGCGGCGGACGGGUGAGUAAUGCUUAGGAAUCUGCCUAUUAGUGGGGGACAACAUUUCGAAAGGAAUGCUAAUACCGCAUACGUCCUACGGGAGAAAGCAGGGGAUCUUCGGACCUUGCGCUAAUAGAUGAGCCUAAGUCGGAUUAGCUAGUUGGUGGGGUAAAGGCCUACCAAGGCGACGAUCUGUAGCGGGUCUGAGAGGAUGAUCCGCCACACUGGGACUGAGACACGGCCCAGACUCCUACGGGAGGCAGCAGUGGGGAAUAUUGGACAAUGGGCGCAAGCCUGAUCCAGCCAUGCCGCGUGUGUGAAGAAGGCCUUAUGGUUGUAAAGCACUUUAAGCGAGGAGGAGGCUACUUUAGUUAAUACCUAGAGAUAGUGGACGUUACUCGCAGAAUAAGCACCGGCUAACUCUGUGCCAGCAGCCGCGGUAAUACAGAGGGUGCAAGCGUUAAUCGGAUUUACUGGGCGUAAAGCGCGCGUAGGCGGCUAAUUAAGUCAAAUGUGAAAUCCCCGAGCUUAACUUGGGAAUUGCAUUCGAUACUGGUUAGCUAGAGUGUGGGAGAGGAUGGUAGAAUUCCAGGUGUAGCGGUGAAAUGCGUAGAGAUCUGGAGGAAUACCGAUGGCGAAGGCAGCCAUCUGGCCUAACACUGACGCUGAGGUGCGAAAGCAUGGGGAGCAAACAGGAUUAGAUACCCUGGUAGUCCAUGCCGU
This 782-nucleotide ribosomal RNA is filed under the name Acinetobacter rhizosphaerae. RNAcentral's name for it is "bacterial SSU rRNA". It matches the Rfam family "Bacterial small subunit ribosomal RNA", at positions 27 to 803 of the family's 1533-position model. The record is from RNAcentral. Lineage: Bacteria; Pseudomonadati; Pseudomonadota; Gammaproteobacteria; Moraxellales; Moraxellaceae.